GACGAACGCUGGCGGCGUGCUUAACACAUGCAAGUCGAACGGAAAGGCCCUGCUUUUGUGGGGUGCUCGAGUGGCGAACGGGUGAGUAACACGUGAGUAACCUGCCCUUGACUUUGGGAUAACUUCAGGAAACUGGGGCUAAUACCGGAUAGGAGCUCCUGCUGCAUGGUGGGGGUUGGAAAGUUUCGGCGGUUGGGGAUGGACUCGCGGCUUAUCAGCUUGUUGGUGGGGUAGUGGCUUACCAAGGCUUUGACGGGUAGCCGGCCUGAGAGGGUGACCGGCCACAUUGGGACUGAGGUACGGCCCAGACUCCUACGGGAGGCAGCAGUGGGGAAUAUUGCACAAUGGGCGGAAGCCUGAUGCAGCAACGCCGCGUGCGGGAUGACGGCCUUCGGGUUGUAAACCGCUUUCGCCUGUGACGAAGCGUGAGUGACGGUAAUGGGUAAAAGAGCACCGGCUAACUACGUG
RNAcentral lists this ribosomal RNA (468 nucleotides) under uncultured bacterium. RNAcentral describes it as "partial 16S ribosomal RNA". It matches the Rfam family "Bacterial small subunit ribosomal RNA", at positions 28 to 507 of the family's 1533-position model. The record is from RNAcentral.